Molecule: ribosomal RNA, 467 nt
Filed under: uncultured bacterium
Lineage: Bacteria
Description: partial 16S ribosomal RNA
Rfam family: Bacterial small subunit ribosomal RNA
Source: RNAcentral
GACGAACGCUGGCGGCGUGCUUAACACAUGCAAGUCGAACGGAAAGGCCCUGCUUUUGUGGGGUGCUCGAGUGGCGAACGGGUGAGUAACACGUGAGUAACCUGCCCUUGACUUUGGGAUAACUUCAGGAAACUGGGGCUAAUACCGGAUAGGAGCUCCUGCUGCAUGGUGGGGGUUGGAAAGUUUCGGCGGUUGGGGAUGGACUCGCGGCUUAUCAGCUUGUUGGUGGGGUAGUGGCUUACCAAGGCUUUGACGGGUAGCCGGCCUGAGGGGGUGACCGGCCAAAGGGGGGAGGAAAACCGGCCCACCCGCGGGGGGGGGGAAGAGGGGGGAAUGUUGGAAAAGGGGGGGAAGGCUGUAUGCAGCACCCCGGGGGGGGGAAGGGGGCCUUCGGGUUGGAAACCCGUUUCCGCCUGAGAAGAAGGGGGGGGGGCGGUAGUGGGAAAAGAAGCACCGCAAAACUACGC